Molecule: long non-coding RNA, 121 nt
Organism: Coffea arabica (coffee)
Lineage: Eukaryota; Viridiplantae; Streptophyta; Magnoliopsida; Gentianales; Rubiaceae
Source: RefSeq, a predicted model, not a curated record
AAAAAUCUACAAGAAACUGUUUAUCCUCCGUCAGUUCAGACUUUAUAGGAAAGUCUUGUUAGGGGCAUACACUCAACUCUCCUACUUUUCCUCCAAAAGGUAGAAGAAAAUCCAAGUCAGA